CAGCAGCUUGGAGAGAUGUUCGUCCAAAAGCAGCAACACACGUCCUAGGAGCGUCCAGCAGCGUCCAGCAGCGUCCAGCGUGGAUGGGGGCCAAUUAAUAUGAAGUAAGGCAGCCGCCACGGAGGAAAAAAUUAAUAUAUUCUGAAUUGAAGGCACGGUCACAUCCAACUGCCAUGUCCAACAUUCAGAGAGCGCGAAAAGAAGCACGUCGGUUUCGUUUUUGGAAGAAGCAUUCGGUCACGUCCUGGAAGAAGUGAGGCACGCGGAGAGAAGCUGGAUUUUGCAAAGAGAAGAUGUGUGCAGCCGCCAGCCUGGGAGCAAUAUCUUUUAUUUAGAAGCGAAGUAGCGUUGGGGGGCACACUUCUCAUUAGAAGGCAGCGGUGCUCCAGAUGCUAGAAGAAGUCACGUUCAUCCAGCAUGUUGAGAAAAAAAAAAUGUUUGAUUUCUUUUCUUCGUUUGAAAUAGGAGCUGGAGAGGACGUGCAUUGCUUUGCUUGCUGGAGAGGCACAGACAUCAUUUUAUUCGGUGCUUUCAUUUCAGCUUUGGAGGCAUUGGUUUUCGGCUGAGUGGACCUGUUAUUGUGAUGUGUUGUAACUAUUUCAAGUGAUGCAAUGAAGAAAAUGUUGGUGAAAGGGAUGUUAUCAUUGCUAGGCAAAGGAGGAAGAUUUAUGAUAUGGAGAACACAGUGAAAGCUUUGAAGAGACGGAUCCAAUUAUUAGUAGCAGUGAUGUGUGUUAUCAGUGUAGUGAUCAUAGUUAUGUUGUGUAUGUUUUUAGGUUGAUGUGUUGUAAGUGUGUUUUUAGGUUGAUAUGUUCUGUGUGUUUUUAGGUGGUCGUCAUCUGAUUUACUUUAGUGUUUUGAAGGUUGAGGUUUUUGGGUGACCCCAAUGUUAAGGUUGGGCGACUGUCUUUUGUAAU
Molecule: small RNA, 917 nt
Filed under: Vigna angularis var. angularis
Lineage: Eukaryota; Viridiplantae; Streptophyta; Magnoliopsida; Fabales; Fabaceae
Description: Non-protein coding transcript
Source: RNAcentral